CAGAGUUGUCGUGGCACCACGACCUAGACACCUGGCACGUUCUGAGCGCCCUCCAACCCGGGCACCCCGGAUCAGCUGACUCACCAUGGGAAACUAUAUAUGUGGUACACUGAGUGCACACAUUGUGACAGCUCUCUCUCCCAUUUCUGUUGGGUGACCAAUUCAAUUUACACUCAUCUCUGUUGUUAAAGAAGAAGAAAAAUAAAGAUGGAGAUGACAGUGAUGAUCAGAGCAGCCCAGACACAGAAAAGAAGGAAGAGGAUGUGACAUACGCCACCAUUGACCAUAGCAACACCAAGACAACAGGUGUCAUAAUAGAUUCUCACACUAACGACUGUGACUACGCCAUUGUUAAACCUCCAACUUGCCUCGCCCACCAGUCGUUAAUUAAAGAAGACUGUGCAGAUGACUAUGUCUUCAUGGGCUGACCUCAUGUACAAUGUGUGUGUGUGUGUGGGGGGGGACAUUUUGAAGGGGGACAAUGGAGAUGCAAGGUGGACAUAGGCCUGGGGCAAGCUGGACAGCACCUUCCUGGACCAAAAUACCCUAGAUGUGACUAUGAUAGCGCCCACAAAUGGAACUUUUCUUGAUGCAGUGUGGUUGCAGGAAUUAUGUGCUUCUAUAGUUAUGUUUAAUUAUGUUUUACAGUCACAUUAUGCUUAUGUUAAUGUUUACAUUUUUUUCCCUAAGAGAAACGGAUGCUUUAGUUCAAACUUUCUAUGUGGUUUAUUUGGCCUCUUGACAGAGGGAACAUACAGGCCAGAGAUUCAAAGGCUAUAGCUAUCAUACUGACCCCUGAGAUACAACUACCAACCACACCACACACACACCCUGGGAGAGAUGAGAUGUUUAUGGUUUGCGAUAGAAUUAUGUGUUUGAAUUUUAUGCAAAAUAUUUUCUUUGCACAAAUCUAUUUGAAUGAGAUACAGUAAGGUGAGAGCGGGAUUGGAGAUACUGUUGUUUUGUGAACCGGUCUUAGCUGUUUCUCAAAAUCACCAGGAACUGUUGUAUCCUAUCAAUGAUGGAUGCAAAGAUGGAUUAAAUCAACAUCGUUAGAACUUUUGUAUCCUUACAUUUAUAACAUCAAUGGCAACAAUCAACGGCAGACAAUUUUCUGCAACUUCAAGAUUGAAUCAAUUAAUAUUUUGGGGCUUCUUUAAUACUAAAGAGAAGAAGACAAAGAGUAACUGUCAAAGACGUAAAUAGCCAAUAAUGUGGAUCCUUAGCAGGUAAAAAAUAGAACCUCUGUCAAAAUAGAUCAAUUUAGCUCCCUAUUUAGUCAGCAUUAAUCACAAAUCACAUAAUAGCCUACAGCUUAAGUAUGUUAACCAAAACAUGUUUCAAUUCAAGGUCCAUGCUCAUCAAAAUGGAUCAUAUGGACUGAUAAUCAGCAGGUGAUUGUUUCAAAUCCUAGGUGAGCCACACUAUAGAUUCAACCUAUAUGUUGCUUUGUCACUCUAUAUCACUAAGCCUACUUAUACUGGACUUCCUUUACUAGUCUCCUACACUACUCCCUUGAUCUGUCAUAACUGGGUUUCUAACAUCACAAAAUUUGUGAAAGCAAGAUGGAGGAAAAUCCACCAUGAGUUUUCACAUUACUGUAUUCCCCUGUCCUUCUUCUUUGAGAUUUGUGGUUAGGAAAGAGGUGAACUCAUAGAAAAUGUCUUUGUGGAAAGGAAAUCUAAGCUGCAGUCCAAGCACGUAAUUUUUAACCCCUCAGCCCUUGCGCUAGCUACUUUCGCUUUGGGGAAUCUGGAUGCAGUUUGAUUGCCAUCUUAAGUGGAGGUCCAAUUCACUAACGUUGCCCCCUCGAACCCUCGAUUUAGCUUGAGGUAGCGAGUGAACAACUUUGAUCGCUUGUGGGGUUGCCAUGACCUACAUUUUAAUGAUAACUGUAGUCACAUGUUGUUAUGUUGUGUUGAUACCAUGCUGUGUUGUCAUGUGUUGCUGCCUUGCUAUGUUGUUGUCUUAGAUCUCUCUUUAUG
This is a long non-coding RNA of Oncorhynchus tshawytscha (Chinook salmon), 1985 nucleotides long. The record is from Ensembl. NCBI's taxonomy places the organism in Eukaryota, Metazoa, Chordata, Actinopteri, Salmoniformes, Salmonidae.